RNAcentral lists this small nuclear RNA (26 nucleotides) under Phaeodactylum tricornutum CCAP 1055/1. RNAcentral describes it as "snRNA PTsRNA00008a". The record is from RNAcentral. Lineage: Eukaryota; Bacillariophyta; Bacillariophyceae; Surirellales; Neidiaceae.
UAACUUUUCAUUUUUGGCUGAGGGCA